Molecule: non-coding RNA, 386 nt
Organism: Equus caballus (horse)
Lineage: Eukaryota; Metazoa; Chordata; Mammalia; Perissodactyla; Equidae
Source: RefSeq, a predicted model, not a curated record
CGGAGGCGGUGCUGGGGCUCGCGCCCUCGGGAGAGCCGCCUUCGUCCCGCGAGCAUUCGGGGCCCGCCUCCUCCUCGUACUCGGUCAGGCAAUCGGACUCCUCCCCUGGAAGCGGGGAGCAGGUGGAGGGAGACCAGCAUGUGCCGGGUCAAGAACUACACCUCCCAGCAUGCCAUGGGCAAGGGAACCACACCUCCCAGCACAUCGGUAACUUCAGAAGCCGCUUCCCAACAUGCCAUGGGCCCCAAACACCACUGUAUGGACUCAAUUUCCCAGCAUACUCUGGUCUAGGACUCCGUUUCUCCGUAUGUUCAAGAUAUGGACUCCAUCCGUCAGCAGGCCCUGACCCCCAGAACCAAGCUCGCCGAUAAGGCCUCCGCCCCUCA